UCAAACUUGGUCAUUUAGAGGAAGUAAAAGUCGUAACAAGGUCUCCGUAGGUGAACCUGCGGAGGGAUCAUUACUGAAUUUGAAGGGCCCUCGUGGCCCUCCAAACACACAAAAACCUGUGGAAGACACAUGUGCUUCAGCGCCCUUUUGGGCGCUGCCUUCAUGCCUCAGUCUGACUUUGCGUCUGAAUUUAAAACUUGAAAAUGAAAACUUUCAACAAAGGAUCUCUUGGCUCUCGCAUCGAUGAAGAACGCAGC
RNAcentral lists this unclassified non-coding RNA (257 nucleotides) under uncultured fungus. RNAcentral describes it as "partial contains small subunit ribosomal RNA, internal transcribed spacer 1, and 5.8S ribosomal RNA". The stretch from base 1 to 73 matches the Rfam family "Eukaryotic small subunit ribosomal RNA", at positions 1759 to 1831 of the family's 1831-position model. The record is from RNAcentral. Lineage: Eukaryota; Fungi.